Molecule: ribosomal RNA, 478 nt
Filed under: uncultured organism
Description: partial 16S ribosomal RNA
Rfam family: Bacterial small subunit ribosomal RNA
Source: RNAcentral
UACACUCCUGCGGGAGGCAGCAGUGGGGAAUAUUGCACAAUGGGCGCAAGCCUGAUGCAGCCAUGCCGCGUGUAUGAAGAAGGCCUUCGGGUUGUAAAGUACUUUCAGCGGGGAGGAAGGCGAUAAGGUUAAUAACCUUGUUGAUUGACGUUACCCGCAGAAGAAGCACCGGCUAACUCCGUGCCAGCAGCCGCGGUAAUACGGAGGGUGCAAGCGUUAAUCGGAAUUACUGGGCGUAAAGCGCACGCAGGCGGUCUGUCAAGUCGGAUGUGAAAUCCCCGGGCUCAACCUGGGAACUGCAUUCGAAACUGGCAGGCUAGAGUCUUGUAGAGGGGGGUAGAAUUCCAGGUGUAGCGGUGAAAUGCGUAGAGAUCUGGAGGAAUACCGGUGGCGAAGGCGGCCCCCUGGACAAAGACUGACGCUCAGGUGCGAAAGCGUGGGGAGCAAACAGGAUUAGAUACCCCUGUAGUCCCAUGAU